This 273-nucleotide long non-coding RNA is filed under the name Mytilus galloprovincialis (Mediterranean mussel). Lineage: Eukaryota; Metazoa; Mollusca; Bivalvia; Mytilida; Mytilidae. The record is from RNAcentral.
UUGAAGUAAGCGUACCCUUUAAACCAAUAUGUAUGUGUUACGACAUGUGGCAACACAAAUUAAUAAAAUAUGUUGUCGAUAUCUUAUAUCGUGUUUAAAAAGAGGUGAAAAUAAGCCAAAAUCCAAAUUUAGAAAUGACCUUGACCUUUGACCUUGACCCUAUUCUCUUCUUUUUUUUGGGACCAAGGACCUCAAAUCAAAAGAACCUAGGUCUCUAUCACUUAUGAUUUACCAAUUACAAUUACAUUUUACUUAUUUUAAAUACAGAAGGGG